UAUGGCUCAGAUUGAACGCUGGCGGCAGGCCUAACACAUGCAAGUCGAACGGUAACAGGAAGCAGCUUGCUGUUCGCUGACGAGUGGCGGACGGGUGAGUAAUGUCUGGGAAACUGCCUGAUGGAGGGGGAUAACUACUGGAAACGGUAGCUAAUACCGCAUAACGUCGCAAGACCAAAGAGGGGGACCUUCGGGCCUCUUGCCAUCGGAUGUGCCCAGAUGGGAUUAGCUAGUAGGUGGGGUAACGGCUCACCUAGGCGACGAUCCCUAGCUGGUCUGAGAGGAUGACCAGCCACACUGGAACUGAGACACGGUCCAGACUCCUACGGGAGGCAGCAGUGGGGAAUAUUGCACAAUGGGCGCAAGCCUGAUGCAGCCAUGCCCGCGUGUAUGAAGAAGGCCUUCGGGUUGUAAGGUACUUUCAGCGGGGAGGAAGGGAGUAAAGUUAAUACCUUUGCUCAUUGACGUUACCCGCAGAAGAAGCACCGGCUAACUCCGUGCCAGCCGCGGC
Molecule: ribosomal RNA, 511 nt
Filed under: uncultured bacterium
Lineage: Bacteria
Description: bacterial SSU rRNA
Rfam family: Bacterial small subunit ribosomal RNA
Source: RNAcentral